RNAcentral lists this ribosomal RNA (188 nucleotides) under uncultured bacterium. RNAcentral describes it as "partial 16S ribosomal RNA". It matches the Rfam family "Bacterial small subunit ribosomal RNA", at positions 1299 to 1500 of the family's 1533-position model. The record is from RNAcentral.
UGAAGGCUGAAAUUCGCCUUCAUGAAGCUGGAAUUGCUAGUAAUGGCAGGUCAGCAUACUGCCGUGAAUACGUUCCCGGGCCUUGUACACACCGCCCGUCACACCAUGAGAGUUGAGAAUACCCGAAGCCCAUGUCAAAGUGGUCGAAGGUAGGCUUGAUGAUUGGGGUGAAGUCGUAACAAGGUAUC